This 315-nucleotide unclassified non-coding RNA is filed under the name fungal sp. Its description in RNAcentral is "partial internal transcribed spacer region". The stretch from base 1 to 46 matches the Rfam family "Eukaryotic small subunit ribosomal RNA", at positions 1786 to 1831 of the family's 1831-position model. The record is from RNAcentral. Lineage: Eukaryota; Fungi.
AAGUCGUAACAAGGUUUCCGUAGGUGAACCUGCGGAAGGAUCAUCAACAAUAGACCGUAAAUGGUCUGAUCUAUACGAUACUAGAAGGAUAGUGGAUAUAUUAUUAUGUCUGCUUGACUGACCGAUUCAUGGUCUGAACUUGACCGACCCCGAAGGAUUAGUGGUGUAUUUCCACGGAUCCAUAGGAGAGGUUAGGGUUUUAUAUUAAACUUGAUAGGGCGACAUGCCAUUGAACAGGGUAACAGACCAGUCUAGGUGUAAUGCCUCUGGUGUAAAAAUGAUUAAAACUUUCGGCAAUGGAUCUCUCGGCUCUCC